Molecule: ribosomal RNA, 433 nt
Filed under: uncultured bacterium
Lineage: Bacteria
Description: partial 16S ribosomal RNA
Rfam family: Bacterial small subunit ribosomal RNA
Source: RNAcentral
AACGAACGCUGGCGGCAUGCCUAACACAUGCAAGUCGAACGAGACCUUCGGGUCUAGUGGCGCACGGGUGCGUAACGCGUGGGAACCUGCCCUUAGGUUCGGAAUAACUCCCCGAAAGGGGUGCUAAUACCGGAUAAUGUCUUCGGACCAAAGAUUUAUCGCCCUUGGAUGGGCCCGCGUUGGAUUAGCUAGUUGGUAGGGUAAAAGCCUACCAAGGCGACGAUCCAUAGCUGGUCUGAGAGGAUGAUCAGCCACACUGAGACUGGGACACGGCCCAGACUCCUGCGGGAGGCAGGAGUGGGGAAUAUAGGACAAUGGGCGGAAGCCUGAUCCAGCUAUGCCGCGUGAGUGAUGAAGGCCUUAGGGUUGUAAAGCUCUUUUACCCGGGAUGAUAAUGACAGUACCGGGAGAAUAAGCUCCGGCUAACUCCGUG